RNAcentral lists this ribosomal RNA (253 nucleotides) under uncultured bacterium. Its description in RNAcentral is "partial 16S ribosomal RNA". It matches the Rfam family "Bacterial small subunit ribosomal RNA", at positions 524 to 776 of the family's 1533-position model. The record is from RNAcentral.
UACGGAGGGGGCUAGCGUUGUUCGGAAUUACUGGGCGUAAAGCGCACGUAGGCGGACUGGAAAGUCAGGGGUGAAAUCCCGGGGCUCAACCCCGGAACUGCCUGUGAAACUCCCAGUCUUGAGGUCGAGAGAGGCGAAUGGAACUCCGAGUGUAGAGGUGAAAUUCGUAGAUAUUCGGUGGAACACCAGUGGCGAAGGCGACUCACUGGCUCGAUACUGACGCGGAGGUGCGAAAGCGUGGGGAGCAAACAGG